RNAcentral lists this transfer RNA (77 nucleotides) under Candidatus Omnitrophota bacterium. RNAcentral's name for it is "tRNA-Pro". It matches the Rfam family "tRNA". From Rfam's summary of the family: Transfer RNA (tRNA) molecules are approximately 80 nucleotides in length. Their secondary structure includes four short double-helical elements and three loops (D, anti-codon, and T loops). Further hydrogen bonds mediate the characteristic L-shaped molecular structure. tRNAs have two regions of fundamental functional importance: the anti-codon, which is responsible for specific mRNA codon recognition, and the 3' end, to which the tRNAs corresponding amino acid is attached (by aminoacyl-tRNA synthetases). tRNAs cope with the degeneracy of the genetic code in two manners: having more than one tRNA (with a specific anti-codon) for a particular amino acid; and 'wobble' base-pairing, i.e. permitting non-standard base-pairing at the 3rd anti-codon position. The record is from RNAcentral. Lineage: Bacteria; Pseudomonadati; Candidatus Omnitrophota.
CGGGGCGUAGCGCAGCUGGCUAGCGCGCUUGGUUUGGGACCAAGAAGUCGACAGUUCGAAUCUGUCCGCCCCGACCA